Molecule: long non-coding RNA, 2729 nt
Organism: Equus caballus (horse)
Lineage: Eukaryota; Metazoa; Chordata; Mammalia; Perissodactyla; Equidae
Source: RefSeq, a predicted model, not a curated record
CGGCGCGGGCAGGCGGCCUGGGCGCGCACGGUCGCGCGUUGGAGCUGUUCUUCCGAGGGCUCGCGGGCCCCCCUCGCCGGAAAAUGCCCACGGAGGCCGCGGCUGGGGGCGGGGAGGAGGCCGCCUCCGCGUGUCAGACAUCUCAGGAAUUCCGGACGCUUCGCCCGAAUCCGGGAUGCCCCUGCGGCUGACACCUUGGCUAAAUCAUGCCGCUCGGUUUUUGCAGCCACCGAUGCCGACGUUCCGAAAUCAGGGACGGAGCCAUCAUAGAAAGUUUUGGAGGCUGUGCACGCUCUCCCAGGCUUUCCCAGCUAUUUCAAACCCCUCCCCACCUUUCUGGGCGCAGCCUGCCUUCUCCAUCGGAAUGCCCCUUAAAUUAAUCCUUUGGAGCUCUUACUGUAUUCUCGUCCAACUCCCUGUUUUUCUUUUUCACGCACCGUCUCAGCUUCUAGAUUCUUAAUUCGCCCACAACUCCAUUAACAUUCUGGCUUUCGUUUAUUUUUAUUCUAUCUACCCGUUCUGCCUGGCUAAAUAUUGCUAGGUGUGCUCUCCAAGCUUGAAAACCUAAGUAUGCUAGUAGCCAUGCUGUGCUGGCUACUUUGUAAUGAGCAGACAGCCACUGGCUAAAAAUUGUAUUUUGUAGCUACCUUAAUAAAAUAGACUUUAAUAAGUGUGACGCUAAAACGGAUAUUUAUAUAGAUAGCAUUUUACAGCAAGUCACUAAUUUAUUGAUUUCUAAGCUCGACUUUGCCAUUUUAUGAUAGUGUUCAUAUCAGUUUUUCUUAAGCUGCCCACAAAUACAGUAGCAACAGAUACAAUCUUAUAGGUAUAAAGAAAAACCACACUGUAAUAAAUAUCUGUCUCUAUCCUAUGUGACUGAUUUCCAACCGAUGUGCCCCUCCUCCAGUUAUUAGAACGUUGACAUACUAAGGCAACCAUUCAGAUUAGCACAGGCCCUGAAGGAAAUCAGAGUAAACCUAAAGUAAAUUACGCAAAAAGUAGGUUGGCAGACAGCUUACUUCGGACUGAUUCUCUGUGAUAGCAGUCGUUGCCCUGACUGUCAGAAGUUCUUUUGGAUUGCUAACUCUUUCAAAAUUGCCCUGCUAACACAGGGAAAGUCCACACUGAACUUGAUUGCUUUGAAGGAAGUGGCCAAGAGGGUCCCUGCCGAGGUGAGAGAGCCCUGCCUUGACUCCGCCCAAGCUCACCUUCCACCUGUACAAUCAACGUCUUCCUCCUGCGCGUCUUCUCCCUGCUCCCCACCCCCACCCCAUUCACCACAGUUUCACUUCCAACACAACACUUAAGCAUUUGCAUCCUUUAACACGAAAUUAAAUUUGAGUCGAAUUUCUAUUGGUGAUAAUGAAGGAAACUGCCAUAAUUAAUCUUCUAGGUAACCUGGAAAGAAUGUGACAAUUUCUCAAGAAAUGUGUCCUUGUCUUCAGUCAAAUCAAUCUGGAAGAUUAUCAGGGUGAGGCAGAAUCUCGAGUUUAUGAUCAUGCAGCAACAGAGGACAUUGAUGGUCUUCAUAUCUAGAAAGCUGCGCCCUUGCCCCUACCCCCACCCCCGGUGUGACAGCCUCACACGACAUUGAUCAAUGAACUGUCAUGUCCGGGGUGGAAUGCCGUAAAAUAGUUUUAUAUAGGCUUCACCUAAAGAGUAACCUGUAAAUUAUGCUGCUCCAAACAAGUGAACAUGUAGGCAGGAAGGACUCUGGUACAGAUGCCCGUUUAUUGUUGACGAGGUUCAGUGAUUCAAUCCUUGCUGUCAUCUGAGAAUCUCCCCAUCAGACCCACUGACAGAUGUGUUACAGAUGCAUAUCUAUUGAUAGAAGUUAACCUCUAAAAGCCAAGACCCCCAGCUCACAGAUAAUAACAGCCUCCGCUUCUCUGGUACAUUCUAAAGUAUCUCUAGUCCUCACAACAACGUUACAUACCCAUUAUAUGGAUGAGAAAACAAGUCCUGAGUAGUUAAAUGACCUUCCCAAGGUCAUACCACCAGUAAGUGGUGAAGCCAAGAUUCAAACCCAAUGUAAUUGCAAAGCGCAUGUUCUUUCCAUCACACCAAGAUGAUCCAAGAUUAUUUGGAAAUAGAGUCUUUACAGCAGUAAUCAAGAUGAGGACAUGAGAGUGAACCCUAAUCCAAUAUGCCCGGUGUCCUUUUAAAAAGAAGAAAUCUGGACCCAGAGACAGACACACACAGACAGAAGGAAGACGGUGUGAGGACACAGGGAGAACACCAGCGGCACCCAAGGAGCACCUGGGGCUGCCGGGAGCCAGGAGGGAGGUUGGGAGCAAAUUCUGCCUCACAGCUAUCAGAGGGAACCACCGACACCCUGAUUUUGGACUUCUGGCCUCCAGAACUGUGAGACGCUAAAUCUCUGUUGUUGAAGCCCCCUGGUCUGUGGUACUUUGUAACGGCGGCCACUGCAGACUAGCACACAGAUUCAAGCCAAGGUUUAAGCCAAGCCCGGUUCUUCUCGUUGGUUCCACACCUGUUCAUUCCCGCUCAUGCUGGUGCGCUAUACUAAACCCGAAAGGUGAGAAGGUGAACAGUUUACAAUUCAUCCCUGGACAGCCGUGUGGCCGGAAGCUGACACCCUCGCUCUUCUCACAGACUUCUGAGUGAAGGCCCUUGGUUGCUCCCUUUGUACAAGCUUUAUUGUUUGUUCUGAUUUUAACAGUAAUUCACGUUUAUCAAACAAAUUAGAAAUAAACAAUAAAUUAACA